UACGGAAGGCAGCAGGUGGGGAAUAUUGCACAAUGGGCGCAAGCCUGAUGCAGCCAUGCCGCGUGUAUGAAGAAGGCCUUCGGGUUGUAAAGUACUUUCAGUCGUGAGGAAGGUGUUAAGGUUAAUAACCUUAGCAAUUGACGUUAGCGACAGAAGAAGCACCGGCUAACUCCGUGCCAGCAGCCGCGGUAAUACGGAGGGUGCGAGCGUUAAUCGGAAUUACUGGGCGUAAAGGGCACGCAGGCGGUUAAUUAAGUUGGAUGUGAAUCCCCGGGCUUAACCUGGGAAUGGCAUUCAAGACUGGUUAGCUAGAGUCUUGUAGAGGGGGUAGAAUUCCAUGUGUAGCGGUGAAAUGCGUAGAGAUGUGGAGGAAUACCGGUGGCGAAGGCGGCCCCUGGACAAAGACUGACGCUCAUGUGCGAAAGCGUGGGGAGCAAACAGGAUUAGAUACC
RNAcentral lists this ribosomal RNA (452 nucleotides) under uncultured bacterium. RNAcentral's name for it is "bacterial SSU rRNA". It matches the Rfam family "Bacterial small subunit ribosomal RNA", at positions 340 to 786 of the family's 1533-position model. The record is from RNAcentral.